Molecule: long non-coding RNA, 444 nt
Filed under: Ursus maritimus (polar bear)
Lineage: Eukaryota; Metazoa; Chordata; Mammalia; Carnivora; Ursidae
Description: lncRNA (ENSUMAG00000014623.1)
Source: RNAcentral
AAGGCCCUCCUGAACUUCAUUGAGAUGCUGAGCCAGCAUGACUACUUGGCCAUGCCUCAGGGGAACGUCAUCAUCAACUAUGUCAUCAAGCUCAGCGAGUCUGACUGCUCAAAUGAAGAGGACAUCCAGCUAAUGUGUUCCAAAAUCCUACAGAUGGUGUCCUUGCCCAAACUGAUUACCUUGGCGUGCCAGCCCAGCAACACCUUGGCCUUCGUGUCGCUGAGUAGGACGGCCACAAACAUGGCUCUGAAGGCCCGGUCCCUGGGCCAGUUCCCCUACCUUAGCAGCUUUCACCUCAGCCCUACCCAGUUCGUCUCCCCACAGAAACUCCUGACCCAUCUUGUGACUUUUCUAUAUAAAUUCUUUGGAUUUACCCUGCGGACCUCAAGGAAUAUGAAACUGGUGAAGAUGAUGCUCUUAUCCAUCUUACAAAGUGUCCACGAA